Molecule: long non-coding RNA, 349 nt
Organism: Olea europaea var. sylvestris
Lineage: Eukaryota; Viridiplantae; Streptophyta; Magnoliopsida; Lamiales; Oleaceae
Exons: 3
Source: RefSeq, a predicted model, not a curated record
UCCUUAUUCCAUUUUCAUCUGCUACAGGAAUGACGGAGGGAAGAAAAUUUUGUUUUACCCAAGACAACAACAUGUUUCAGUGACACAAGAUGGUUGCCAAGCUCCGAUUUCUCCAUUUUCUGGUCGUCUGGGGUUAUAUAUUGAAGGAUCAGUUUCUCCCCCUCUUUCUGAUGUUCACAUAAGAGUUAUUGCUGAGAUAGAGAGCCAGAGUGCUUCACUUAAGCAAGGAGAUUUAGCUCUUGAAACUAGUACGGGGACAGAUGGUUUAUAUGUUGCGGGACCUCUGUAUGACGAUAUAACUUACACCAUUGAGGCAUCAAAGCCUGGUUAUCACGUAAAACCAGUUGGA